UACGUAGGGACCUAGCGUUGUCCGGAAUCAUUGGGCGUAAAGCGCGCGUAGGCGGCCCGGUAAGUCCGUUGUAAAAGUCGAAGGCUCAACCUUCGAAAGCCGAUGGAUACUGCCGGGCUAGAGUCCGGAAGAGGCGAGUAGAAUUCCUGGUGUAGCGGUGGAAUGCGCAGAUAUCAGGAGGAACACCAAUGGCGAAGGCAGCUCGCUGGGACGUGACUGACGCUGAGACGCGAAAGCGUGGGGAGCAAACAGG
RNAcentral lists this ribosomal RNA (253 nucleotides) under uncultured bacterium. RNAcentral describes it as "partial 16S ribosomal RNA". It matches the Rfam family "Bacterial small subunit ribosomal RNA", at positions 524 to 776 of the family's 1533-position model. The record is from RNAcentral.